GGCUGGAAUGUGGGGCUGCUGUGGGGCUGCUGCACUCCAGUGAAACAACUGCUGCUUAUAGUUCAGCGCUUUCCCCCUUUGGAGAGGGAAAUGAAAGAACAGCAUAAAUCUGAGCUGAGUCAGGAGGCUUCUGGGAAAGUCCUUUCUUUGCACUCCUAACUCCUGAACACUGAGGCAUUGUGAAUAACAAAGGAAAAGAAAUACAAAUGGAGAGAAAGUGGGAACUUACACUGAAGGGACUGAAGAAGUGAAUUCUGUCUGUUUUUGAGCCUUUGACUGUCAAUGUGAUACAAGACCAGUCACUCAAACCAACACUUCACAGAAAGCUUAGCAAUGGUGCUACCACAUCACCUUAACCCUGCCAAGUAUGAACAUGAGUGGGAGAAAGGACCUCAACCUUGUAAAGGGAAAAUAGAAGGCUGGAGAAACUCGCUUAUCUCCAAAGAA
Molecule: long non-coding RNA, 447 nt
Organism: Centrocercus urophasianus (Greater sage-grouse)
Lineage: Eukaryota; Metazoa; Chordata; Aves; Galliformes; Phasianidae
Exons: 3
Source: RefSeq, a predicted model, not a curated record